AUCCUCUAUAUAUAUAGGUCAAAGACAGUAGGGGCCUUUUGGCUUAAUAAUCCUAUCGAGGCCAAGCAAAAAUUUUGGAUUUGCGAUUUCGGAUUGCGGAUUUUAAAAUCCCAAA
Molecule: non-coding RNA, 115 nt
Organism: Deltaproteobacteria bacterium
Lineage: Bacteria; Pseudomonadati; Myxococcota; Myxococcia
Source: Rfam